RNAcentral lists this long non-coding RNA (482 nucleotides) under Nicotiana benthamiana. RNAcentral's name for it is "long non-coding RNA (NBEN_LNC014686)". Lineage: Eukaryota; Viridiplantae; Streptophyta; Magnoliopsida; Solanales; Solanaceae. The record is from RNAcentral.
AAAAAGAUCUGGAAAAGUUGCCAAGGAGUCACAAGAAAAAGAUGAUAAUUCAGUAGUUGAAUUAACAAAAGUCUCACAGCAGACUGUACAAAGUGCAGAAUGAGUGACUGUGGAUAAUGUAGUCAUGCAAGAUGUUGUUGAUCCAAAUGAUUAUGUUACACAAUCUGGUAUGGUAAAGGAUGCAACGAAAAUGAAUGUUGAGAUGAAUACUGCAACAAAUUCUGUGAAUGAUAGGAUUGAUGCUGAUCACCAUGAAAUGGCUAGGAAUCCUGGGACUACUGCUAUAUCUGAUACACCAAAUGCAGCAAAUCCAGUUGAGUCUGUGCAGGAGAUAUUGAAGCUGGAUAAAGGACCCUCGAAGCAUUCUGCAGAAGCACCUGCUUCUGUUCCAAGUCUUCCAUCUACACAUGCUCAUUCAAUGCCAAUUACUGAUAUAGCAUAGCACUGUAAAUUUUCUGUUAGAUCCAGUCUGAAUGUUCCCA